Molecule: long non-coding RNA, 944 nt
Filed under: Elaeis guineensis (African oil palm)
Lineage: Eukaryota; Viridiplantae; Streptophyta; Magnoliopsida; Arecales; Arecaceae
Description: long non-coding RNA (EGUI_LNC075724)
Source: RNAcentral
GGACUUAUUUUUGUCAGCGUUGACAGACAAAAAUUUUACAAUUGCAUGUUUAUUAGCUCUAAUUGAUUGAAGAGAAGUUUCAUAAGAUAGAUAAUACUAAAGACCAUGAACUUUGAUUUGUCGCUGGCCAAUUGAUUGAAUGGUUCAUUUUCUAAACGGUUCGGUAGCAAGGGGAUAUGUCCAACAUCUGUUGUGAUUGGUGCUUAAUGUUGCAUUUUGUUGGGUUCCCUCAACACAAUUAGUAUUCCGUGCUAUAUCUGGAACUUACGUGGCUAGGAAUUUGUGUGGUAGCCUAAAAGAUACCUGAGACAUGGAUCACAUAGUUGCCGGUCACAAAAUUUGCUGGGCAAAUAGUAAGUUUUAGCUGUCAGACAACCACUGCUUUGUGUUCGUGCAUUCGUGCUAGGUUUGGACCUAAAGAAGAUUGGGUGGAGUACUCCAGAUGAGCUUUUUGGUUGUGAUUAAAUCAUGACUACCAUGUGAAAGCAGAAAAAUGUAAACAAAGUCAAGUAUUUAGCGAUCACAAAUUGCAAAAGAUAUGAAAGCUUCCACUAAGAGAGAAGAGAGAGAGGAGAAAACAAGACAGAGAAUAAGAAAAUAUUUGGUUAAGCCCAGCACAGCACCGUUUAGCAGCAUUCUGAUCUCCCGAGUAGUUUCAGCAUUGUUCCGGAACUGAAAAGCAUAGGUUCAGCAGAGUUCCAGUCAAGUUUCAGCAGACUUUUAGCUAGCCACAGGUAUUGAAAACUAAAAGAAUAUGCUAUGUCAAAUAAUGCAUAUGCUACUUACGAUCCACAAUCUCAGUUGCAUUGCCAUCCAAAGACUGUCAUGCUGACCAGUAACUUCAACCACUGGCUUCUUGCCUAUUGGCAGCGGAUUUUACCAACUAUUUUUUGUGGCAUUUGAAUUUUUACUAUUUAAAGUACAAACACUGAGUUUCCCUUUAA